Molecule: long non-coding RNA, 2594 nt
Filed under: Drosophila guanche
Lineage: Eukaryota; Metazoa; Arthropoda; Insecta; Diptera; Drosophilidae
Source: RNAcentral
UCAAAGCUUGUUAACACUACUAUCUAAUGAUGACGUGCACAUGGAAGGAUCUCGGGCUGAUAAUGCUCCGGCACGUGGUUUAGAUACUCAACUUGCACACCCAGAGAAUACUCGUCGGGCUUUUGUUCCGACGGACUAUUUCCGAAACGGUUGUACACGGCAUUCCGUGUUUUUCUUUUCUUUUUCUCACAAAUAUCCUCUCUCUCCUCUAAAGAUGGCUCAUCCUAGAAGCCCUCGGAUAGAGAUCUAAAUAGUUUAAAUACAUGAAAAGAGACAAAAGAGGAGCCGCAACCAACUCUAAAGUCUAUAAUCCAUGACUAAGCCACCCAAUUUGUGAAUUUUUCCACAGUUAAUUUUGCUAGCCAAUCUCACCAAAUCAGCCUGUCAUUAUUUGUUGGAGUCCUUCUCAGACACUACGUUCAUCCGGUUAAUAUGUACAACUCUCAUUGUGAUUUGGCCUGCGUACCAACUAAACCGCUCCUAUUGCUCUCUAAAAAAAUCUCUAUGGGCAUGCAAAUAUAAGAUAGCGUCCUAAACACUGCUGCAAUAAUACUUAUCUAUCUCUUUUAAAUCAUCCCAUAACUCGUCGUCUGUAUUCAACUCUGGGAAAAUAUCAAGGUUGAGAAAGUAGCGCAAAUAAUCAAGGUCUUUAGUGGCAACAUUUCCCAUAUAUUGCGCCUGUCGAUAUUCAUCAGAACUUAAAACCUCCCUCUCACAGCUUUCGAUAGUAGUUAUUAUGUCUCUCCCAAGAACUUUCUCGAUGCCGUGUAUAAUAUCCCUAUGAUAGUCCGACUUAUUUUUGUCUCUUAUUAUGUGCUGAAACAAAUCGGACCUUAUAUCUAACGUUUCAUUGCAGAACCUCGCUGUUGUGUGAUCAAAAUCCGUCAAAAUGGCCAUUAAUUCUUCCUUUGAAACUUUUUUAUACUGCCGAUAAACUAAACAGCACACGCGAACAAAAAUGAAGAUACAUGUGAUCUCCAUUAAAACUAUCCUUCCCGGAUGAUUAUAUUGCUUCUCUGCACCAUUUUCUGAGCACGUAAUGCGGUCGAACAAACUCGCUACUCCACAAAAUAGAGAAAUAUGGUAAACAUCGAUUCCGGCGGGGGCUUUUACUGCUUCGAGUAAAAUGUUCAACCCCAUCUCGCUUAUGGGCCGAACGUGUUCCUUGAUUUUUAUAUUAUCGUUCGCACGUAGAAUGAAAGUAAAAGUUUCAACUGUAGUUUGAAGGAUAUCUUUAUCAUACUCACCUAUCUGAUCACUGAUUAGAUUGCUACUUGUACCAUGAAAAAUACUCUUAAACCGCAUCAACAAGUUCCCUAUAGCCUUAAGACAUGAUAUUCGACUGUAUGCAAAGUGUAUGCAAAACCUGAAAACAUCAUCGUCCAGCAAGCUUUUUUCAAGCUCAUGCACAACCGUUGUUUUCAACACCGUGAAUCCCUUCCUUAUUCCAUUUAUUCUUGUUAGUAGUUCCUCCACAACUUUGAAAUCCAACGCAGUGAUCCCCGAAAACAUUCUAUAAUCCGUAAACUUGCGAUUGUAAAGUACAUUUGAAAACACAUCAUUGAUGCUAAUCGAGAGAACAAUGUAUCCAAACAUGAUGUGGUCCUUCAACGAUCCAUAAGUAAAAUCAACACGUUCUAGCAUUUGCCAACUUGACAUCGCAUCAUCUACUCCAAGUCUCAUUAUUUGUUGGGGGAGUAAACAUGUCACGGUUGAGCUAUCAAUCAUCGGUAGCUUUCCGGUGACUACCACGUACCAUUUGUCCCACCAGUAAGUGUCCCACCAUAUUUCACGGAGGUGGUUUGCAUGCUCUUCAUUCAUCCCAAGAUAAUAUUCCCAUCGGCUCAAUCCCAGAUCUUGCACUUGUCUACAUAAUGGUGCGAUAACCCCACCUAUUAUAAAUGAAUUGUCUUUCCAGUGCCGCUGCUUAACAAAGCAUAACAAAUCAUGUAGAAAUUCAGCGUCGAGUAAUCUAAAAUUUAGGGAAUUUUCCAAAAGUGUGUAACAGAGCGUAGACAGCAGUUCUUCAACUUGAAAAAAAUGCUCAAAGAUAUUGAUAUUUCUUAACAAGUGGCGAGAUGACGUGAAGUGUUUGCCUAAAAGUUUCACACAAUACAUAAAUAGUUUUCUGGAGUCCUGAAUAGAAUUUCCGCCCUCCUCUUUUAGUUCACUUCUCAAUGAUGGUGGGAUAGCAUCAAUCGCUUCCUUCAAAGUCUGAUUUCGAGUGAAGGGUACCUUACACCCAAAGAACUCUAUCAAAAUAAACUGCAACCGAUACACAGGCGCUAUCAAUUCCCAUUUGUAGCUGGAGCUCCCUGCAUCUAAAAACUUUAGAAGAAUAUAUACAGUCUCUUCCGUAUCCUUCUCUCUGGACUUUACUAUAAGCUGUUGUAUUAGCCAGCAUAUUCCUUUUGGUGACAUUACUGAUAUAGGCGAAUAGAGGCCAAAAAUAACAUCCACUGCCUUUCCUUUGCUAACAUUUUCAAAAGUACUAAAAGCAUCAAACGCAACAUAAUUACCGCCUAGCAGCUGAUUUUCGAGUGCGCCGUUAUCCUUGUAUGUACGAACUGAUUCUGAAUUUAUAUUAACAUGUU